This 254-nucleotide ribosomal RNA is filed under the name uncultured bacterium. RNAcentral describes it as "partial 16S ribosomal RNA". It matches the Rfam family "Bacterial small subunit ribosomal RNA", at positions 524 to 777 of the family's 1533-position model. The record is from RNAcentral.
UACGUAGGGUGCAAGCGUUGUCCGGAAUUAUUGGGCGUAAAGAGCUCGUAGGCGGUCUGUCGCGUCUGCUGUGAAAACUCAGGGCUUAACCCUGAGCUUGCAGUGGGUACGGGCAGACUAGAGUGCGGUAGGGGAGACUGGAAUUCCUGGUGUAGCGGUGAAAUGCGUAGAUAUCUGGAGGAACACCGGUGGCGAAGGCGACAUCCUGGACCGGUAUUGACGCUGAGGCGCGAAAGCCAGGGGAGCAAACGGGG